This 557-nucleotide ribosomal RNA is filed under the name uncultured bacterium. Its description in RNAcentral is "bacterial SSU rRNA". It matches the Rfam family "Bacterial small subunit ribosomal RNA", at positions 102 to 694 of the family's 1533-position model. The record is from RNAcentral.
ACGGGUGAGUAACGCGUGGGAAUCUACCCAUCUCUACGGAAUAACGCAUGGAAACGUGUGCUAAUACCGUAUACGUCCUUCGGGAGAAAGAUUUAUCGGAGAUGGAUGAGCCCGCGUUGGAUUAGCUAGUUGGUGGGGUAAAGGCCUACCAAGGCGACGAUCCAUAGCUGGUCUGAGAGGAUGAUCAGCCACACUGGGACUGAGACACGGCCCAGACUCCUACGGGAGGCAGCAGUGGGGAAUAUUGGACAAUGGGCGCAAGCCUGAUCCAGCCAUGCCGCGUGAGUGAUGAACGCCCUAGGGUUGUAAAGCUCUUUCACCGGUGAAGAUAAUGACGGUAACCGGAGAAGAAGCCCCGGCUAACUUCGUGCCAGCAGCCGCGGUAAUACGAAGGGGGCUAGCGUUGUUCGGAUUCACUGGGCGUAAAGCGCACGUAGGCGGACUAUUAAGUCAGGGGUGAAAUCCCGGGGCUCAACCCCGGAACUGCCUUUGAUACUGGUAGUCUUGAGUUCGAGAGAGGUGAGUGGAAUUCCGAGUGUAGAGGUGAAAUUCGUAGA